AGAGUUUGAUCCUGGCUCAGAUUGAACGCUGGCGGCAUGCCUUACACAUGCAAGUCGAACGGUAACAGGUCUUCGGAUGCUGACGAGUGGCGAACGGGUGAGUAAUACAUCGGAACGUGCCCGAGAGUGGGGGAUAACGCAGCGAAAGCUGUGCUAAUACCGCAUACGAUCUACGGAUGAAAGCAGGGGACCGCAAGGCCUUGCGCUCAUGGAGCGGCCGAUGGCAGAUUAGGUAGUUGGUGGGAUAAAAGCUUACCAAGCCGACGAUCUGUAGCUGGUCUGAGAGGACGACCAGCCACACUGGGACUGAGACACGGCCCAGACUCCUACGGGAGGCAGCAGUGGGGAAUUUUGGACAAUGGGCGAAAGCCUGAUCCAGCCAUGCCGCGUGCAGGAUGAAGGCCUUCGGG
This 410-nucleotide ribosomal RNA is filed under the name uncultured bacterium. RNAcentral's name for it is "bacterial SSU rRNA". It matches the Rfam family "Bacterial small subunit ribosomal RNA", at positions 8 to 422 of the family's 1533-position model. The record is from RNAcentral.